GACGAACGCUGGCGGCGUGCUUAACACAUGCAAGUCGAACGGAAAGGCCCUGCUUUUGUUGGGUGCUCGAGUGGCGAACGGGUGAGUAACACGUGAGUGACCUGCCCUUGACUUUGGGAUAACUUCAGGAAACUGGGGCUAAUACCGGAUAGGAGGUCCUGCUGCAUGGUGUGGGGGGGAGAGUUUCGGCGGUUGGGGAUGGACUCGCGGCUUAUCAGCUUGUUGGUGGGGUAGUGGCUUACCAAGGCUUUGACGGGUAGCCGGCCUGAGAGGGUGACCGGACACAUUGGGACUGAGAUACGGCCCAGACUCCUACGGGAGGCAGGAGUGGGGAAUAUUGCACAAUGGGCGGAAGUCUGAUGCAGCAACGCCGCGUGCGGGAUGACGGUCUUCGGGGUGUAAACCGCUUUCGCCUGUCACGAAGCGUGAGUGACGGUAAUGGGUAAAGAAGCACCGGCUAACUACGUG
Molecule: ribosomal RNA, 468 nt
Filed under: uncultured bacterium
Lineage: Bacteria
Description: partial 16S ribosomal RNA
Rfam family: Bacterial small subunit ribosomal RNA
Source: RNAcentral